This 90-nucleotide non-coding RNA is filed under the name Clostridium nigeriense. RNAcentral's name for it is "NiCo riboswitch". It matches the Rfam family "NiCo (Nickel/Cobalt) riboswitch aptamer". The record is from RNAcentral. Lineage: Bacteria; Bacillati; Bacillota; Clostridia; Eubacteriales; Clostridiaceae.
ACAGUACAAACUGAUCAGGCCAUUAAACAUCAUGUUUAUGGAGCCGGGCCAUAUCUUUGGCAACAGGAUUCUAUAUACCUGUGGGACAGU